Molecule: ribosomal RNA, 527 nt
Filed under: Johnmannia powerae
Lineage: Eukaryota; Metazoa; Arthropoda; Insecta; Diptera; Therevidae
Description: partial 16S ribosomal RNA
Rfam family: Bacterial large subunit ribosomal RNA
Source: RNAcentral
CAAAAACAUGUCCUUUAGAAUUUAAUUUAAGGUCUGACCUGCCCACUGAAUUAUUUGAAUGGCCGCAGUAUUCUAACUGUGCAAAGGUAGCAUAAUCAUUAGUCUUUUAAUUGAAGGCUUGUAUGAAUGGUUGGACGAAAUAUUAACUGUUUCAUAAAAAUUUAUUUAGAAUUUUAUUUUUUAGUUAAAAAGCUAAAAUUUAUUUAAAAGACGAGAAGACCCUAUAGAUCUUUAUAGUUUAUGUAUUAUAUUUAUUUAGAUUAUUUAAAAUAUGAUUAUAUGAAUUAUUUUGUUGGGGUGACAUUAAAAUUUAAUUAACUUUUAAUAUAUUUAUACAUUAAUUUAUGAUUAGUUGAUCCAUUAAUAAUGAUUAUAAAAUUAAGUUACCUUAGGGAUAACAGCGUAAUUUUUUUGAAGAGUUCAUAUCGAUAAAAAAGAUUGCGACCUCGAUGUUGGAUUAAGAUAUAAUUUUGGGUGCAGCAAUUCAAUUAUUAAGUCUGUUCGACUUUUAAUUUCUUACAUGAUCU